GGCUCGAUAGCGGAGGGUCCGCACCUGCACUCAAUUCGGGGAUUCUUGAAGACCGUCUUCAGCAGGAGCGCCGGUUCGACUCCGGCUCGAGUCA
This is a non-coding RNA of Mycena rosella, 94 nucleotides long. Lineage: Eukaryota; Fungi; Basidiomycota; Agaricomycetes; Agaricales; Mycenaceae. The record is from the annotation of a GenBank genome assembly.